RNAcentral lists this non-coding RNA (290 nucleotides) under Clostridium carboxidivorans. RNAcentral's name for it is "T-box sequence". It matches the Rfam family "T-box leader". Rfam says of the family: Uncharged tRNA acts as the effector for transcription antitermination of genes in the T-box leader family. T-boxes are found upstream of many aminoacyl-tRNA synthetase genes and some amino acid biosynthetic genes usually in Gram-positive bacteria. The record is from RNAcentral. Lineage: Bacteria; Bacillati; Bacillota; Clostridia; Eubacteriales; Clostridiaceae.
UGUAAGGCAGAGAUGGAGAAAAAGGUAUUUGAUGUGUUAACUAAAGAGAGCUAGCGUUAGGUGAAAGUUAGUGUUAAUGUGAAUAUAUAAUGAUCACUCCGGAGCUUCUGAAUUGAAAGGCUUUUGUCAAGUAAGUAAAGACGUUUACCAGCGAUAUAUGGUUAGGAUUCACUAUAAAUAAUAGACUUAUAUAGUUAAGUUGUUUAGAGUUGAUCUGAUAAUAAGUGGCAGUUAGUAUACCUAAUUGCAAGUAAGGUGGUACCACGGAAGUUAAAUCUUUCGUCCUUAUA